RNAcentral lists this transfer RNA (74 nucleotides) under Candidatus Opitulatrix roisinitermitis. RNAcentral describes it as "tRNA-Lys". It matches the Rfam family "tRNA". Rfam says of the family: Transfer RNA (tRNA) molecules are approximately 80 nucleotides in length. Their secondary structure includes four short double-helical elements and three loops (D, anti-codon, and T loops). The record is from RNAcentral. Lineage: Bacteria; Bacillati; Actinomycetota; Actinomycetes; Bifidobacteriales; Bifidobacteriaceae.
GCCUUCGUAGCUCAGUUGGUUAGAGCACCUGACUCUUAAUCAGGGUGUCCAGGGUUCGAGUCCCUGCGAGGGUA